Long non-coding RNA from Numida meleagris (helmeted guineafowl), 797 nucleotides. RefSeq lists it as uncharacterized. The record is from RefSeq and is a predicted model, not a curated record. NCBI's taxonomy places the organism in Eukaryota, Metazoa, Chordata, Aves, Galliformes, Numididae. The transcript is spliced from 3 exons.
ACCAGCUGCUGUCUCUGGCAACCAAAAGGCUGCUGUGGAGAGGAUAAAAACCUAAAGAGUUCUGAGGAAGAACAGGUACCUCCUCUGCCAAACUGCAGCUGUGCAAGUCAACAAGACAUCGCUGACCAACUUGCUGCCUCCCUAUGGACCAACAAGACGUCACUGGAUCCCAGUUGCCAGCAGAACUGCACUAAGACUGCUCCAAACGGAUUGUCCACCAGAGUAACAACAGGGUCCAAGAGAAAAUAUACCAAAUCCACAGGACACGUCAGAUGCUCAGAUCUCAGGAUAAGCAUACUCUAAAGGUUCUCAUAGACUGAAUAUCGUUAAGGUCUUUUGCCUUAAUGGGCUUUGCCAGGCCUGUGGAAUAGACAGUACUGCACUUAAAACACAAGCAUGAGUCAUCAGUGCUGCCCUAUGUAGUGGGCUCAGCUCCAUAUUUGGUCCUUCAGAAACAAAAAUCUCCAGAUAGUUCCUGCAAUUAAAAUUCUAGUCUCUGUUCUUGGUCAUUGAGCCUGAAUGCUGAAUUAGAACUGUUUGCACAAGUUUCCCAGGAUUUUUCCAUGUAGCUGUGGAUGUCUGGCAAAUCAGACCAGACCUUUUGCAAAUAACAUCACUGGAGAAUACGGGUGGUGCUGUCAGAAAGAGUCAGAAACAAAUCAGCUUGGCUGGAAUUGCCAGCCAGCUGAGAUGCCAGCCUGUGGGUUUGCAGGGCUUCAUUGUGAGCUGCGUGAUGCUUUGCACAUCUACUGUUGUACUGUGACAUUGGUUGUAAAUUAAUAAAAUAUAUAUGCUUU